This 1413-nucleotide ribosomal RNA is filed under the name Escherichia coli. RNAcentral's name for it is "partial 23S ribosomal RNA". It matches the Rfam family "Bacterial large subunit ribosomal RNA", at positions 1538 to 2925 of the family's 2925-position model. The record is from RNAcentral. Lineage: Bacteria; Pseudomonadati; Pseudomonadota; Gammaproteobacteria; Enterobacterales; Enterobacteriaceae.
AAAUCCGGAAAAUCAAGGCUGAGGCGUGAUGACGAGGCACUACGGUGCUGAAGCAACAAAUGCCCUGCUUCCAGGAAAAGCCUCUAAGCAUCAGGUAACAUCAAAUCGUACCCCAAACCGACACAGGUGGUCAGGUAGAGAAUACCAAGGCGCUUGAGAGAACUCGGGUGAAGGAACUAGGCAAAAUGGUGCCGUAACUUCGGGAGAAGGCACGCUGAUAUGUAGGUGAAGUCCCUUGCGGAUGGAGCUGAAAUCAGUCGAAGAUACCAGCUGGCUGCAACUGUUUAUUAAAAACACAGCACUGUGCAAACACGAAAGUGGACGUAUACGGUGUGACGCCUGCCCGGUGCCGGAAGGUUAAUUGAUGGGGUUAGCGGUAACGCGAAGCUCUUGAUCGAAGCCCCGGUAAACGGCGGCCGUAACUAUAACGGUCCUAAGGUAGCGAAAUUCCUUGUCGGGUAAGUUCCGACCUGCACGAAUGGCGUAAUGAUGGCCAGGCUGUCUCCACCCGAGACUCAGUGAAAUUGAACUCGCUGUGAAGAUGCAGUGUACCCGCGGCAAGACGGAAAGACCCCGUGAACCUUUACUAUAGCUUGACACUGAACAUUGAGCCUUGAUGUGUAGGAUAGGUGGGAGGCUUUGAAGUGUGGACGCCAGUCUGCAUGGAGCCGACCUUGAAAUACCACCCUUUAAUGUUUGAUGUUCUAACGUUGACCCGUGAUCCGGGUUGCGGACAGUGUCUGGUGGGUAGUUUGACUGGGGCGGUCUCCUCCUAAAGAGUAACGGAGGAGCACGAAGGUUGGCUAAUCCUGGUCGGACAUCAGGAGGUUAGUGCAAUGGCAUAAGCCAGCUUGACUGCGAGCGUGACGGCGCGAGCAGGUGCGAAAGCAGGUCAUAGUGAUCCGGUGGUUCUGAAUGGAAGGGCCAUCGCUCAACGGAUAAAAGGUACUCCGGGGAUAACAGGCUGAUACCGCCCAAGAGUUCAUAUCGACGGCGGUGUUUGGCACCUCGAUGUCGGCUCAUCACAUCCUGGGGCUGAAGUAGGUCCCAAGGGUAUGGCUGUUCGCCAUUUAAAGUGGUACGCGAGCUGGGUUUAGAACGUCGUGAGACAGUUCGGUCCCUAUCUGCCGUGGGCGCUGGAGAAUUGAGGGGGGCUGCUCCUAGUACGAGAGGACCGGAGUGGACGCAUCACUGGUGUUCGGGUUGUCAUGCCAAUGGCACUGCCCGGUAGCUAAAUGCGGAAGAGAUAAGUGCUGAAAGCAUCUAAGCACGAAACUUGCCCCGAGAUGAGUUCUCCCUGACUCCUUGAGAGUCCUGAAGGAACGUUGAAGACGACGACGUUGAUAGGCCGGGUGUGUAAGCGCAGCGAUGCGUUGAGCUAACCGGUACUAAUGAACCGUGAGGCUUAACCUU